GUAAGUCAGGAUGGCCGAGUGGUCUAAGGCGCCAGACUCAAGUUCUGGUCUUCGAGAGAGGGCGUGGGUUCAAAUCCCACUUCUGACAU
Molecule: transfer RNA, 89 nt
Filed under: Medicago truncatula (barrel medic)
Lineage: Eukaryota; Viridiplantae; Streptophyta; Magnoliopsida; Fabales; Fabaceae
Description: tRNA gene19770
Rfam family: tRNA
About the family: Transfer RNA (tRNA) molecules are approximately 80 nucleotides in length.
Source: RNAcentral